UACGGAGGGGGCAAGCGUUGUUCGGAGUCACUGGGCGUAAAGGGCGCGUAGGCGGUGCGUAAAGUCAGGCGUGAAAGCCCCGGGCUUAACCUGGGAAUUGCGCUUGAUACUGACGUGCUAGAGAACGGGAGAGGAUGGCGGAAUUCCCAGUGUAGAGGUGAAAUUCGUAGAUAUUGGGAAGAACACCGGUGGCGAAGGCGGCCAUCUGGACCGUUUCUGACGCUGAGGCGCGAAAGCCAGGGGAGCAAACGGG
RNAcentral lists this ribosomal RNA (253 nucleotides) under uncultured bacterium. Its description in RNAcentral is "partial 16S ribosomal RNA". It matches the Rfam family "Bacterial small subunit ribosomal RNA", at positions 524 to 776 of the family's 1533-position model. The record is from RNAcentral.